Molecule: ribosomal RNA, 518 nt
Filed under: uncultured archaeon
Lineage: Archaea
Description: bacterial SSU rRNA
Rfam family: Archaeal small subunit ribosomal RNA
Source: RNAcentral
CCUUCGCAAUGCGCGCAAGCGUGACGAGGGGACUCCGAGUGGUGGACUUAGUCCACCUUUUUAUCAGAAUAAAUACCUGGUAGAAUAAGGGCCGGGCAAUAUCGGUGCCAGCCGCCGCGGUAACACCGAAGGCCCAAGUGGUAUCCACGAAUAUUGGGCUUAAAGAGUCCGUAGCUGGCUUGCUAAGUUCUCUGUGAAAUCUUCUGGCUUAACCAGAAGGCGUGCAGGGGGUACUGGCAGGCAUGGGAGUGGGGGAAGUCAGGAGUACUCACGGGGUAGAGGUAAAAUUCUGUAAUCCUGUGAGGACUACCAGUGGCGAAGGCGCCUGACUAAAACAUGUCCGACAGUGAGGGACGAAGGCUAGGAGAACGAAUCGGAUUAGAUACCCGAGUAGCCCUAGCAGUAAAUUAUGCAGACUGGGGUGUUGCAGUGGCUUUGCGCCGCUGCAGUGCCGUAGCGUAAGUGUUAAGUCUGCCGCCUGGGGAGUACGGCCGCAAGGUUGAAACUUAAAGGAAUUG